UACGUAGGGGGCAAGCGUUAUCCGGAUUCAUUGGGCGUAAAGAGCGCGUAGGCGGUUUGUUAAGCGAGAUGUGAAAACCGGGGGCUCAACCCGCGGCCUGCAUCUCGAACUGGCAGACUUGAGUCUGGUAGAGGAAAGUGGAAUUCCCAGUGUAGCGGUGAAAUGCGCAGAUAUUGGGAGGAACACCAGUGGCGAAGGCGGCUUUCUGGGCCACGACUGACGCUGAGGCGCGAAAGCUAGGGGAGCAAACAGG
RNAcentral lists this ribosomal RNA (253 nucleotides) under uncultured bacterium. RNAcentral's name for it is "partial 16S ribosomal RNA". It matches the Rfam family "Bacterial small subunit ribosomal RNA", at positions 524 to 776 of the family's 1533-position model. The record is from RNAcentral.